ACUUUAUCUCUGCUAGUUUCUUA
Molecule: small nuclear RNA, 23 nt
Filed under: Arabidopsis thaliana (thale cress)
Lineage: Eukaryota; Viridiplantae; Streptophyta; Magnoliopsida; Brassicales; Brassicaceae
Description: snRNA_16871
Source: RNAcentral